This 1136-nucleotide long non-coding RNA is filed under the name Phasianus colchicus (ring-necked pheasant). RNAcentral describes it as "lncRNA (ENSPCLG00000016527.1)". Lineage: Eukaryota; Metazoa; Chordata; Aves; Galliformes; Phasianidae. The record is from RNAcentral.
UGAAAAUGCAGACAUUUGGGGUGAAAGGGGUCUCAUAUGGGGUGAAAAUGGAGACAUUUGGGGUGAAAGGGGUCUCAUGGGGUGAAAUUUGACUCAUAUGGGGUGAAAGGGGUCUCAUGGGGUGAAAUUUGACUCAUAUGGGGUGAAAAUGGUCCGAUUUGGGGGCAAAGGGGUCUCGUAUGGGGUGAAAUUUGACCCGUAUGGGGUGAAAGGGGUCUCGUAUGGGGUGAAAUUGGUCCAAUUUUGGGGAAAAUGGGGACAUUUGGGGUGAAAGGGGUCUCGUAUGGGGUGAAAUUUGCCCCAUAUGGGGUGAAAAUGGGCCAAUUUGGGGUNNNNNNNNNNNNNNNNAGCCACAACCACGGGCUUUCAGGUCCUCCAGCCCCACAACCACGGGGUUUGAGCUCCUCCUGCCCCCUAACCCUCAAUCUGAGCUCCUCCAGCCCCACAUCCAUGGGAUUUGAGCUCCUCCAGCCCCACAACUGUGGGCUUUCAGCUCCUCCAGCCCCACAACUGAGCUCCUCCAGCCCCACAUCCAUGGGAUUUGGGCUCCUCCAGCCCCACAUCUGAGCUCCUCCUGCCCCUUAACCCUCAAUCUGAGCUCCUCCAACCCCACAACUGUGGGCUUUCAGCUCCUCCAGCCCCACAUCUGAGCUCCUCCAGCCCCACAACCACGGGAUUUGAGCUCCUCCAGCCCCACAACUGUAGGCUUUCAGCUCCUCCAGCCCCACAACCAUGAGAUUUGAGGACCUCCAGCCCCACAUCUGAGCUCCUCCCGCCCCACAACCACGGGAUUUGAGCUCCUCCAGCCCCACAACUGUAGGCUUUCAGCUCCUCCAGCCCCACAACUGUAGGCUUUCAGCUCCUCCAGCCCCACAACUGACCCACUGCCCCCUUUGCCCCCCCCCAGCACGUGGACAUGGCCCUAUUUGACCUGCUGGCCCUGGAGGGCCGCGUUUCCCGUUACGAGGCCGAUUCCUUCCUGCCCCGUUUCCGGGUCACCCGGCGCCUCAUCGAGGACAUCGCCGCCGCCCCCGACCCCCCCCCGCGCCCCAAACCCGUCCGGAUGAAGGUCAACCGGUACGUAUGGGGGCUGUGGGGUGGCCACGGGGUCAUGGGGGUGGUUAUGGGGUCAUUGG